CCACCGCAAUCAUCUCCUCAAGAUUCAGAUUCCCUUCUUCUCUUGCAUCAAUUUCUCGUUCCACGCUAUCAUCUCCUCUCUCCCCGCUUUUCUGAUACUCAUUCAAUUUCUCAUCAUCUCGUUCUUCUCGCCAUCAUAUCGUGGUCAAAGCCACCGACGACUCUUCCAACCUAUCCGGUGAUGAUCCUUUUCGGUCUUUCCCGUGGUUCCAAUUCGACUCUGAAAUUCAAUGAGUUCAUGAGGAUAGAAUUACAUUGUUCACCGUUGAUGGACUGGUGCAGAUUGGAGGCUCCAUCACCCCUCGCCAUGUUAGCUCUUCAGAUGUAGUACCGAAGACUAUUGGAAAAGAUAGGAUGCUGCUCAAGUAAUGGCUCAGUUAGUAUGGGAAGGACUUGGACUCGGAGGAGGGACAGAUGUCCGAAACUGGGGCAGCCUGGUUUAUCUU
This is a non-coding RNA of Arachis ipaensis, 445 nucleotides long. The record is from RefSeq and is a predicted model, not a curated record. NCBI's taxonomy places the organism in Eukaryota, Viridiplantae, Streptophyta, Magnoliopsida, Fabales, Fabaceae.